AUUGAACGCUGGCGGCAUGCCUUACACAUGCAAGUCGAACGGCAGCGCGGGAGCAAUCCUGGCGGCGAGUGGCGAACGGGUGAGUAAUAUAUCGGAACGUGCCCAGUAGUGGGGGAUAGCCCGGCGAAAGCCGGAUUAAUACCGCAUACGACCUGAGGGUGAAAGCGGGGGAUCGCAAGACCUCGCGCUAUUGGAGCGGCCGAUAUCAGAUUAGCUAGUUGGUGGGGUAAAGGCCUACCAAGGCAACGAUCUGUAGUUGGUCUGAGAGGACGACCAGCCACACUGGGACUGAGACACGGCCCAGACUCCUACGGGAGGCAGCAGUGGGGAAUUUUGGACAAUGGGCGCAAGCCUGAUCCAGCAAUGCCGCGUGCAGG
RNAcentral lists this ribosomal RNA (377 nucleotides) under uncultured bacterium. Its description in RNAcentral is "bacterial SSU rRNA". It matches the Rfam family "Bacterial small subunit ribosomal RNA", at positions 29 to 407 of the family's 1533-position model. The record is from RNAcentral.